UGGGGAAUAUUGGACAAUGGGCGAAAGCCUGAUCCAGCCAUGCCGCGUGUGUGAAGAAGGUCUUCGGAUUGUAAAGCACUUUAAGUUGGGAGGAAGGGCAUUAACCUAAUACGUUAGUGUUUUGACGUUACCGACAGAAUAAGCACCGGCUAACUCUGUGCCAGCAGCCGCGGUAAUACAGAGGGUGCAAGCGUUAAUCGGAAUUACUGGGCGUAAAGCGCGCGUAGGUGGUUUGUUAAGUUGGAUGUGAAAUCCCCGGGCUCAACCUGGGAACUGCAUUCAAAACUGACUGACUAGAGUAUGGUAGAGGGUGGUGGAAUUUCCUGUGUAGCGGUGAAAUGCGUAGAUAUAGGAAGGAACACCAGUGGCGAAGGCGACCACCUAGAAUAAUA
This 392-nucleotide ribosomal RNA is filed under the name uncultured bacterium. Its description in RNAcentral is "partial 16S ribosomal RNA". It matches the Rfam family "Bacterial small subunit ribosomal RNA", at positions 355 to 739 of the family's 1533-position model. The record is from RNAcentral.